This 1842-nucleotide long non-coding RNA is filed under the name Papio anubis (olive baboon). Its description in RNAcentral is "lncRNA (ENSPANG00000040903.1)". The record is from RNAcentral. Lineage: Eukaryota; Metazoa; Chordata; Mammalia; Primates; Cercopithecidae.
UUUGUAAUGUGCUUUGAAAUUAGAAAAGGUGAGGUCACUAACACUGUUUCUUUUUUAAAACAUUUUUGUGCUCUUUAUUGUCCCUUGAGAUUCCAUAUAAAUUUUUGGUUGCUUUUUCUAUUUCUAAAAGAAAAAAAAAAUUGUUAAUUGUAAAGGGAUUGCAUUGAAUCCGUAGCUCACUAGGCAGCACGAACAUCUUCACAAUAUUAAGUCUUACAAUGUUUGAACAUGAACAUGCUCAAAAGUGAGUUAAUUUCCAUAUGUAUGUUGACAUUUUUGUUUUCUUCUGUUAUUGAUUUCUAGUUUUAUUCCAUGUUUAUCAGAAAUAAUAAUCUUUAAGAUUUAUAUUUUUAAAAAAUUGUUAAGUCUUCUUUUGUGGCCUACUAGGUGGUGUAUCUAGGAGAAUGUUUUAUGAGCUAUUGAGGAAAUUGUAUGUUUUGCUGUUGCUGUGUAUUCUGUAUAUGCCCACUAGGUCUAAUUUUUCUCUAGUGUUUUCAAACCUUCUGUUUCCUUAUUAAUAUUUUGGCUAGCUAUAUUAAUUAUUAUGAAAGUUUGAAUUAAAAUAUUCUACUAUUAUUAUUUUUAUCUAUUGUAAUAAUUAUUUCAAUGUUCGCUUUAUACAUUUGGGAACACUGGUUGAGAAUUUUAUAUAUAUAUAUAUAUACACACACACACAUAUAUAUAAAAUAAAAUUUCAUAAGUUCUCAGUGAAUGAGCCCUUCUAUUAUUAUUUAAUGGCCUUCUUUGUCUCCUGUGACAGUUUAGACUUAAAGUUUAUUUUAUGAACUAUGACUAAAAUGUAUUUUGCCUAACACAGUUAUGACCAGCACUGCUUUCAUUCGAUUACCAUUUACAUCAAAAGUCUAUUUUCAUUUUUUUAUUUUGAGACGGAGUUUCGCUCUUGUUACCCAGGCUGGAGUGCAAUGGCACGAUCUCAGCUCACCGCAACUUGUGCCUCCUGAGUUCAAAUGAUUCUCCUUCCUCAGCCUCCCAAGGAGAUGGGAUUAUGGGCGCCCACCACCACGCCCGGCUAGACUUUUUGUAUUUUGAGUAGAGAUGUGGGGCUUCACCAUAUUGGCCAGGCUGGUCUCGAAAUCCUGAACUCGUGAUUCACCCGCCUCGGACUCCCAAAGUGCUGGGAUUAUAGGCGUGAGCCACUGCUCCUGGCCCAUAAAACCUCCUAAAGAUGACAAUAUAUUUUAAAUUGGUAACAACUUAACUUUUUUUUCUUUUUUUUGAGACGGAGUCUCGCUCUGUCGCCCAGGCUGGAGUGCAAUGGAGUGAUCUCAGCUCACUGCAAACCCCGCCUCCCUGGUUCAAGUGAUUCCACUGCCUCAGUUUCCCGAGUAGCUGGGAUUACAGGUGCCUGUCACCAUGCCCAGCUAAUUUUUUUUGGUAUUUUUAGUAGAGAUGGGGUUUCACCAUGUUGGCCAGGCUGGUCUCAAACUCCUGACCUCAGGUGAUCUACCUGCCUCAGCCUCCAAAAAUGCUGGGAUUUCAGGCAUGAGCCACCGUGCCUGGCCAGUAACAACUUAACUUUAGUUGCAUACAAACAUUCUUCCUCUUUCCAUCUGCCUCACCUUUAUGUUAUUGAUGUUACUAAUAUCUUUUUAUAUUAUAUAUCAUUAACAAACUUUUUUGACUAUUUUUACACUUUUUUAAAAUUAUAUAACAUAUUACAUAUGUUUUAGGAACCAUCAUUUGAAUUCAUCAUAAUUUUAUUUUUGUGCCUGUAUAUGUCUUUUCUAGAGAGUUAUGUACUGUCAUGUAAUUUUGCAACGCUGUUUAACAUCACUUUAUUUUUAAUGAGAAAAACUCUCUUUAGCAUUUCUUCUAGUGCCG